CUCUAGCCUAUUAAAUAGGUGCGGGGUUCCCAGCACCUUACAACCUUCUUAGAGGGACAAGCGGCUCCUAGCCGCACGAAACAGAGCAAUAACAGGUCUGUGAUGCCCUUAGAUGUCCGGGGCUGCACGCGCGCUACACUGAAGGAAGCAGCGUGUCUUUAUCCCUGUCUGAAAAGACUGGGUAACCCGUGGAACUUCUUUCGUGAUUGGGAUAGGGGCUUGCAAUUGUUCCCCUUGAACGAGGAAUUCCCAGUAAGCGCGAGUCAUCAGCUCGCGUUGAUUACGUCC
This 288-nucleotide ribosomal RNA is filed under the name Streptococcus pneumoniae. Its description in RNAcentral is "partial 16S ribosomal RNA". It matches the Rfam family "Eukaryotic small subunit ribosomal RNA", at positions 1341 to 1652 of the family's 1831-position model. Lineage: Bacteria; Bacillati; Bacillota; Bacilli; Lactobacillales; Streptococcaceae. The record is from RNAcentral.